Molecule: ribosomal RNA, 492 nt
Filed under: uncultured bacterium
Lineage: Bacteria
Description: bacterial SSU rRNA
Rfam family: Bacterial small subunit ribosomal RNA
Source: RNAcentral
GACGAACGCUGGCGGCGUGCUUAACACAUGCAAGUCGAGCGAGGCCCUUCCUUCGGGAAGGUGCCCUAGCGGCGAACGGGUGAGUAACACGUGGGCAACCUGCCUCUAGCACUGGGAUAACUCCGGGAAACCGGGGCUAAUACCGGAUAUGACCUCCGAAGGCAUCUUCGUUGGUGUAAAGGAUUCUGGCUAGAGAUGGGCCCGCGGCCUAUCAGCUUGUUGGUGGGGUAACGGCCUACCAAGGCGACGACGGGUAGCCGGCCUGAGAGGGCGACCGGCCACACUGGGACUGAGACACGGCCCAGACUCCUACGGGAGGCAGCAGUGGGGAAUAUUGCACAAUGGGCGAAAGCCUGAUGCAGCGACGCCGCGCGAGGGAUGAAGGCCUUCGGGUUGUAAACCUCUUUCAGCAGGGACGAAGCGCAAGUGACGGUACCUGCAGAAGAAGCACCGGCCAACUACGUGCCAGCGGCCGCGGUAAAAUAGCGUACU